Molecule: non-coding RNA, 288 nt
Organism: Pelodiscus sinensis (Chinese soft-shelled turtle)
Lineage: Eukaryota; Metazoa; Chordata; Testudines; Trionychidae
Source: RefSeq, a predicted model, not a curated record
GGCACCAUUGGGCAGAGCUCAACGCGACACCUUCCUCCGAACAACUGAGGUGAUGUAGAGAGAGAGCCACGCGGGGGAGCCGGGAGACGAUGGUGGCUGCUGAGCCGUUUGAAGAUAAUUUGCAGACAUCUUUGGUUUCGUGCUGGGCGGGGGGACUAGAUCCUCUUUCAACUUGCCCUUGAAAAAGAGUGCUCCAUAUCAUUGACGCUUUCUCCCACUGCAAUAAACUGAAACACAUCUGCAUGGUGUGUUUAUACACUUUUUUAGGAAACCUUUCCUGGAAUUAAA